CUUCCCCUUUCCUUUGCAGCUAAGGGGAUUGUGCCAUGUCUAGCGAGCACGGCAGUGGGUCUCCAGCACUGCCUCACUAACACACCCCAGUCCUGACCACAGCCUUCCUGCCUGCACGAGCUUUGCUCUCCCAUCACUGCCAAAUUGCAGGUAUCUUCCUCAGGGUGCAGGGCAGCAUCAAGGAAUUGAUCCCAUUUGUCAGGUUUUCACAGCAGCAAACACAAAACAACAGUCUCGUUUUCCUAUGCUUCCAUGUAGAAGCUACUUAGGGCAGCGAGGCAAACUGUCAGCAUUACAGGUAAAUCAAGCCAAUAAUAUUGUAGCAAUACAUAGGCUGGCAGCAGUCAAAGAAGAGUUAGAGGAAAAAGUAUUAUAUUUCAGUUCUGUUCUUACCUUUCUUCUCAACUUGCAUUAAGGCAUUAGCAAUGUGAGAAAACUGAAAAAGGAGUUGUGGAAAUGGCAGGAAAUCAUGGAUCCAGUGACAGAGAACUCAUUGCCCUCCCUAGACGUGAAAAAAAUGAGACAACUGAGUCAGAAUGGACUGAGAGCUCCCACUUCAUCCUCUUGGUACCUAAAUCUCUUCUAGUGAAAGUGCAAAGCCACUGGUCAGCUUCAGCCACACCAAACCAAGAGGUAAAUGUCUAACAGCUGCUGAGCUCAUGUGCGUCUUCCAGGAAAGCAGGCAGCGAAGGAGAGGCUGGAUCCAUUGCCACCCAAAGGAAAGGAUGGAGCACGAGCUUCACCUGCAUUAGACUGCAGCAAAUGGUAAGGAGCUGCUAUCAAUGCUCUGCCCACAUGGGGACUAAACCUGACUGAACCUCAGCUGUUUCUAGACAUCAA
RNAcentral lists this long non-coding RNA (840 nucleotides) under Calidris pugnax (ruff). Its description in RNAcentral is "lncRNA (ENSCPUG00000018375.1)". Lineage: Eukaryota; Metazoa; Chordata; Aves; Charadriiformes; Scolopacidae. The record is from RNAcentral.